CCGACCUUAGCUCAGUUGGUAGAGCGGAGGACUGUAGUUUGAUGCAGAGAAAUCCUUAGGUCGCUGGUUCGAAUCCGGCAGGUCGGA
Molecule: transfer RNA, 87 nt
Organism: Oryza rufipogon (brownbeard rice)
Lineage: Eukaryota; Viridiplantae; Streptophyta; Magnoliopsida; Poales; Poaceae
Rfam family: tRNA
About the family: Transfer RNA (tRNA) molecules are approximately 80 nucleotides in length. Their secondary structure includes four short double-helical elements and three loops (D, anti-codon, and T loops).
Source: Rfam